Molecule: long non-coding RNA, 493 nt
Organism: Cyclopterus lumpus (lumpfish)
Lineage: Eukaryota; Metazoa; Chordata; Actinopteri; Perciformes; Cyclopteridae
Exons: 3
Source: RefSeq, a predicted model, not a curated record
CCCAGUCAGUCACAGUCUCGGUGUUAUGCUAUUGUUGAGCUAACACAGUUAGCCGAAGAUACAACGGUCUCCGAACCUCAUUCUACACACAACACUACAAGUCGUCCACUUAUAUGCGGUUGAAUCCAGCAACGUGGACCAGCUGCUGAAUCACGUGAUGUCGACCAGCUGUUGAGUCUAGAGACGUGGACCAGGUGUUGAGUCGCGGGAUGUCCAUUUGGCCAUAGGUGAGAAGCCCCACAAGUGUAGCAUGUGUGACUUCAGAUGCCGAGAUGAGUCGUACCUCUCGAAGCAUAUGCUCACUCACUCAGACGACAAGAACUUCAUGUGCGCUGAAUGUGGAUACGUCACUAAAUGGAAGCACUAUCUGAAUGUCCACAUGAGGAAACAUGCUGGAGACCUCAGGUACCGGUGUGACCAGUGCCCCUACCGCUGCCACCGCAUGGACCAGCUAAACAGCCACAAGUUACGGCAUCAGGCCAAAUCCCUCAUG